This 494-nucleotide ribosomal RNA is filed under the name uncultured bacterium. Its description in RNAcentral is "partial 16S ribosomal RNA". It matches the Rfam family "Bacterial small subunit ribosomal RNA", at positions 28 to 507 of the family's 1533-position model. The record is from RNAcentral.
GACGAACGCUGGCGGCGUGCUUAACACAUGCAAGUCGAACGGUGAAGCGCCUUCCGUUUUGGAGGGUGUGGAUGAGUGGCGAACGGGUGAGUAACACGUGCGUAACCUGGCCCCUUCUUCUGGAUAACCGCAUGAAAGUGUGGCUAAUACGGGAUAUUCUGGGUCUGUCGCAUGAUGGGUCUGGGAAAGAUAUUGGUUCGGUGGGGGAUGGGAUCGCGGACUAUCAGGUUGGUGGUGAGGUGAUGGCCUACGAAGGCGGUGAGGAGUAGGCGGCCUGAGAGGGUGAGCGGUCCUACGGGUGAUGAGAGGCGGAGAAGACUACGACGGGAGGCAGCGGGGGAGAAUAGAGCACAAUGGGAGGAAGGCUGCUGCAGCGACGCGGGGUGGGGGAUGGAGGCCGGCGUGUUGUGAGCCUCUGUAGGGAGUGAAGCAGGUCUGCCUAGUUUGUGGGUGGGUUGACGGUAGCGGGAGAAGAAGCGCCGGCUAACUACGUG